RNAcentral lists this long non-coding RNA (1363 nucleotides) under Rattus norvegicus (Norway rat). RNAcentral's name for it is "long non-coding RNA NONRATT031354". Lineage: Eukaryota; Metazoa; Chordata; Mammalia; Rodentia; Muridae. The record is from RNAcentral.
CAGGGAUUGGCAGCACUCACUCCAAUGAAGCAUAUCUAGAAACGCAGGACUACUCCCACAGGCAAGCUACAUGGACAAACAGAUCUCACUAAACCCUUCUCUAUUCAUUGCUGGUAACAUCAUAAGAAGGUCCCACGGGGUGAGCUCAUUUCAGUUCCAGUGACAAACACUAAGGCUGGACCCUGACUGCAGAAGACUUACUGAAAGAGAAUAGAGAUGAUGGCCAAGUCAUCAAGUCAUCCCAGUCAGCUGACUAAACAAGGAAACUCUUCAACAACCAGCUCUUGCUCCUACAGUGUUUGCUAUUUGUGGUUCUGGAAGUGUUAGCAAGAGUGACCUUGACAUUGUCAGCAACCGCAUGUGGCCACCAAGGAGUGUGAUAUUGUAUGGAUCCUACUUAGUUUGGAACAUGGCUAAUGGCUUGAGAGAGUUAAAGUCUAUUGUGACAAGAAGUAAAGAGAAGACUGGCUUAGCCUCCAACAGCAAGAUUUCCUUGACAUGGCUGUUCACAUAAUAGAAGACCAGGAGACCCGCAGCAACCACAUGAACAGAGAAUCCUUGUCUGGGUCUUCAAUCACAUUUGCAAGCCCUGAAGUUCUAGUGGAAUUAUCUAACAUCUUGCCCUGGCCAGAGCAUAAGACCUUCAGGAGUGUGGAGUAUCUGCGUGGCUGGUUCUCAGCGUUCUCCAUAUAUUCGCUCUCAGCGUGGAGUUUCACUGAAUUCAACGAAGACACCUGAAACACCUGCCCUGUGCCAUGUGUGGACAUGAUGCCUCUGCAUGAUCUGAAGAGAAUGUUGUGUGAAGGAAAGCACUCAUCAGUGUCCUAUCACCACCACAUAGGCAUUCCCACCAGGACACUCUGAACGUACAGCUUCCCUACAACCACGUACAUAAACACUGGUGGAGAAGCAUUGAAGCCAUCACCCACAGGACAGCAGCACCAUGGACUCCCUCAACAAAAAUGUUUUCUUUUCCCAAGGAUGAAUACUGAGAGAGAAAAUAACUACCGGUAAGAGUGUCACAGGACAGCCAGAGCCCCUGCUGAUCCUCAACGCACAUGAGGCAGGCUGCAGGACAGCCAAACAACUAUCAGACGUGUGCUCUGUUGUGGCAAUAGCACAGGGUUAACUGCAUCGGAAGCAGGGCUAGCUGACCCCUGCCCUGCCAUCACCUGUGACAGUCAUCCCUACCCUAGAGCAUUCCAUUACUCUAUUCUUCCCCCCUUUGCAAGGCAGCUGAGGUACAGGGCUACAGAGAGUCCAGAAGAGAUUCAUCUCUGCCCAGGGCAUGCGUUUGCCCGACAGUAGGUCAAUAAAGCCAUCUUCAUAUAUCCAGAAAGUGUGUCCUUGUGGAGGAGCCGGG